This 618-nucleotide ribosomal RNA is filed under the name uncultured bacterium. Its description in RNAcentral is "bacterial SSU rRNA". The stretch from base 1 to 525 matches the Rfam family "Bacterial small subunit ribosomal RNA", at positions 338 to 873 of the family's 1533-position model. The record is from RNAcentral.
CCUACGGGAGGCAGCAGUGGGGAAUAUUGGGCAAUGGAGGAAACUCUGACCCAGCGACGCCGCGUGCGGGAUGAAGGCCUUCGGGUUGUAAACCGCUUUCAGUAGGGAAGAAGCGAAAGUGACGGUACCUACAAAAGAAGCACCGGCUAACUAUGUGCCAGCAGCCGCGGUAAUACAUAGGGUGCAAGCGUUGUCCGGAAUUAUUGGGCGUAAAGAGCUCGUAGGUCGUUUGUUACGUCGGAUGUGAAAACCUGAGGCUCAACCUCAGGCCUGCAUUCGAUACGGGCAAACUAGAGUUUGGUAGGGGAGACUGGAAUUCCUGGUGUAGCGGUGGAAUGCGCAGAUAUCAGGAGGAACACCAAUGGCGAAGGCAGGUCUCUGGGCCAAUACUGACACUGAGGAGCGAAAGUCUGGGGAGCGAACAGGAUUAGAUACCCUGGUAGUCCAGACCGUAAACGGUGGGCACUAGUUGUGGGAACCUUCCACGGUUUCUGCGACGCAGCUAACGCAUUAAGUGCCCCCGCCUGGGGGAGGUACGAGUCGCGAAGAAUUAAACUAACAAUAGAAGUUAGUACGGCGUGAGACGUACGCCGACGGACGACCGACGAGGGAGGUAGG